ACUCAUAUCCUACUCUCCCAUCAGCCACCCAUCAGCCACCUUAUAGCCAGCUAAAAGCAAGCAUCCCACACCCACCUACUCCUUUCUUUUUGAAAAGUCAACAUCACCACCCACUUCCACCACCAACAUCACCAUCAAUCCUCUGCACUAUACCUAUUACAGCACACUCCAUGCUUCUACAAAUUCAUUGACAUACUUUAGUCAUUCUCAUCCAUUUCAUCACAAUCCCUCACGCAAUUCAUCAUCUUUCACUCUCACAAGAAACACCAAGACAAAGCGGCCAAACAAAUUCAAGCAAACCGACCCAACCGAAAUCUUUCUAAAAGGCUUUGUGACCAGGGGGAUUAGCGCUGCUUUCCCAAGACAGGUUUUUAUGUGUAUGAUCUUCAGGCUUUGCCUAUCCAGGUUGGCUGGCCGGUGCUGACGGGACGGAGCUGAGGCUAGAGAUAAAUUCCUAUGUUAGACUUCCGCUGUAGCAAUUACUCAUAUCAGUCUUUUGUUUUCCCAACUUAAGAUCUUCAUGUUAAAUUUCAAAUGAUAUAUCUGACCGAGCUUAGACUCUUCACUACUUAAUUUAUGCCAAUGAAUGUCGGUUGUCAGAA
Molecule: long non-coding RNA, 602 nt
Organism: Salvia miltiorrhiza (redroot sage)
Lineage: Eukaryota; Viridiplantae; Streptophyta; Magnoliopsida; Lamiales; Lamiaceae
Exons: 4
Source: RefSeq, a predicted model, not a curated record